Non-coding RNA from Acanthosepion pharaonis, 112 nucleotides. Lineage: Eukaryota; Metazoa; Mollusca; Cephalopoda; Sepiida; Sepiidae. The record is from the annotation of a GenBank genome assembly.
CCGGCCAUGUCACGUUGAAUCACCUGAUCCCGUACGAUCACCGGAGUUGAGCAACGCCGAGCCUGGUUAAGACCUAGAUGGGUGACUGCUUGCGAAUACCAGGUGCUGUAAG